RNAcentral lists this ribosomal RNA (490 nucleotides) under uncultured bacterium. RNAcentral describes it as "partial 16S ribosomal RNA". It matches the Rfam family "Bacterial small subunit ribosomal RNA", at positions 30 to 507 of the family's 1533-position model. The record is from RNAcentral.
AUUGAACGCUGGCGGCAGGCUUAACACAUGCAAGUCGAACGGUAACAGGAAGCAGCUUGCUGCUUUGCUGACGAGUGGCGGACGGGUGAGUAAUGUCUGGGAAACUGCCCGAUGGAGGGGGAUAACUACUGGAAACGGUAGCUAAUACCGCAUAACGUCGCAAGACCAAAGAGGGGGACCUUAGGGCCUCUUGCCAUCGGAUGUGCCCAGAUGGGAUUAGCUAGUAGGUGGGGUAACGGCUCACCUAGGCGACGAUCCCUAGCUGGUCUGAGAGGAUGACCAGCCACACUGGAACUGAGACACGGUCCAGACUCCUACGGGAGGCAGCAGUGGGGAAUAUUGCACAAUGGGCGCAAGCCUGAUGCAGCCAUGCCGCGUGUAUGAAGAAGGCCUUCGGGUUGUAAAGUACUUUCAGCGGGGAGGAAGGGAGUAAAGUUAAUACCUUUGCUCAUUGACGUUACCCGCAGAAGAAGCACCGGCUAACUCCGUG